Molecule: ribosomal RNA, 1366 nt
Filed under: marine metagenome
Description: bacterial LSU rRNA
Rfam family: Bacterial large subunit ribosomal RNA
Source: RNAcentral
AGAAGCAGCCAUCCUUUAAAGAGUGCGUAAUAGCUCACUAGUCGAGGGGUUCUGCGCCGAAAAUUAUCGGGGCUAAGUCAUUCACCGAAGCUGCGGGAUUCUUUAUGAAUCGGUAGGGGAGCGUUCUCAAUGCGUUGAAUCUGAAUUGUGAGAUUUGGUGGAGCGUUGAGAAGUGAGAAUGUCGGCAUGAGUAGCGACAAUCUUUGUGAGAAUCAAAGACACCGGAAGUCCGAGGUUUCCUACGCAACGUUGAUCGGCGUAGGGUUAGUCGGUCCUAAGGAGUAGCCGAAAGGUGAAUCCGAUGGACAGCUGGUCAAAAUUCCAGCACCGUAAUUAUCCUGCUAUGCAAAGAAGUGACGCGAUAAGGAAUGCUUGGCAUGCCUAUUGGACAUGGCGUGUGGGGCUCUGUAGGGAAGUGAUUGUGGUUAAAAGAACAGUUACGUUAUUAACUGAGGGGGCUUCAAACUUUAAGGCUUAGGCCUUGGAGAAUUAAGCAAGAACUAUGUCGCCGAGAAAAGCUUCGUUGAUAGGGAUAUUACGUCCGUACCGAAAACCGACACAGGUGGACAGGGGUAAAAGCCCCCAGGUGAACGAGAAAACCAUCCUUAAGGAACUCGGCAAAUUAACCCCGUAACUUCGGAAUAAGGGGAGCCUAAAACAUAUUAGACUUAGCGUUGAAAGUGUUUUAGGCCGCAGAGAAUUGGUCUGAGCGACUGUUUAUCAAAAACACAGGUCUGUGCUAAAUCGAAAGAUGACGUAUACAGGCUGACGCCUGCCCAGUGCCGGCAGGUUAACGCGAGAAGUGAGAGCUUUGAGCCGAAGCCCCGGUGAACGGCGGCCGUAACUAUAACGGUCCUAAGGUAGCGAAAUCCCUUGUCGGGUAAGUUCCGACCUGCACGAAAGGCGUAACGACUUGGACACUGUCUCAAGGAUGGACUCGGUGAAAUUGCAUGACCCGUAAAGAUGCGGGUUACGCGCAGCAGGACAAAAAGACCCCGUGGAGCUUUACUGCAGCUUGACAUUGGUUCGAGCUUUAACCUGUGUAGGAUAGGCGGGAGACUAUGAAUUAGAUGCGCCAGCAUUUAAGGAGUCGCCCUUGAAAUACCGCCCUGAUUACAGUUUGAAUCUAACUUUUACUAGAACAGUGUCUGGUGGGCAGUUUGACUGGGGCGGUCGCCUCCCAAAGAGUAACGGAGGCGCACAAAGGUCACCUCAGGCUGGAUGGAAAUCAGCCUUAGAGCGUAUUGGUAUAAGGUGGCUUGACUGCGAGACAUACAAGUCGAGCAGGGACGAAAGUCGGUCAAAGUGAUCCCACGGUACCGUGUGGAAGGGCCGUGGCUUAACGGAUAAAAGCUACCCCGGGGAU